This 465-nucleotide ribosomal RNA is filed under the name uncultured Klebsiella sp. Its description in RNAcentral is "bacterial SSU rRNA". It matches the Rfam family "Bacterial small subunit ribosomal RNA", at positions 338 to 795 of the family's 1533-position model. Lineage: Bacteria; Pseudomonadati; Pseudomonadota; Gammaproteobacteria; Enterobacterales; Enterobacteriaceae. The record is from RNAcentral.
CCUACGGGUGGCAGCAGUGGGGAAUAUUGCACAAUGGGCGCAAGCCUGAUGCAGCCAUGCCGCGUGUGUGAAGAAGGCCUUCGGGUUGUAAAGCACUUUCAGCGGGGAGGAAGGCGGUGAGGUUAAUAACCUCAUCGAUUGACGUUACCCGCAGAAGAAGCACCGGCUAACUCCGUGCCAGCGGCCGCGGUAAUACGGAGGGUGCAAGCGUUAAUCGGAAUUACUGGGCGUAAAGCGCACGCAGGCGGUCUGUCAAGUCGGAUGUGAAAUCCCCGGGCUCAACCUGGGAACUGCAUUCGAAACUGGCAGGCUAGAGUCUUGUAGAGGGGGGUAGAAUGCCAGGUGUAGCGGUGAAAUGCGUAGAGAUCUGGAGGAAUACCGGUGGCGAAGGCGGCCCCCUGGACAAAGACUGACGCUCAGGUGCGAAAGCGUGGGGAGCAAACAGGAUUAGAUACCCUUGUAGUC